RNAcentral lists this transfer RNA (71 nucleotides) under Candidatus Wolfebacteria bacterium. Its description in RNAcentral is "tRNA-Phe". The record is from RNAcentral. Lineage: Bacteria; Candidatus Wolfeibacteriota.
ACCCUGAUGGGAGAGUGAGGAAGCAGGGACUGAAAAUCCAUGUGUCGCUGGUUCGAUUCCAGCUGGUACCA